Molecule: ribosomal RNA, 465 nt
Filed under: uncultured bacterium
Lineage: Bacteria
Description: partial 16S ribosomal RNA
Rfam family: Bacterial small subunit ribosomal RNA
Source: RNAcentral
GACGAACGCUGGCGGCGUGCUUAACACAUGCAAGUCGAGCGGUAAGGCCCCUUCGGGGGUACACGAGCGGCGAACGGGUGAGUAACACGUGAGCAAUCUGCCCAUCACAUCGGGAUAACUCCGGGAAACCGAAGCUAAUACCGAAUACGACCACCUCCGGCAUCGGAUGGUGGUGGAAAGUUCCGGCGGUGAUGGAUGAGCUCGCGGCCUAUCAGCUUGUUGGUGGGGUAACGGCCCACCAAGGCUUCGACGGGUAGCCGGCCUGAGAGGGUGACCGGCCACACUGGGACUGAGACACGGCCCAGACUCCUACGGGAGGCAGCAGUGGGGAAUAUUGGACAAUGGGCGAAAGCCUGAUCCAGCAACGCCGCGUGAGGGAUGACGGCCUUCGGGUUGUAAACCUCUUUCAGCAGGGACGAAGCGCAAGUGACGGUACCUGCAGAAGAAGCACCGGCCAACUACGCG